RNAcentral lists this small RNA (3404 nucleotides) under Pan troglodytes (chimpanzee). RNAcentral describes it as "3prime overlapping ncRNA". The record is from RNAcentral. Lineage: Eukaryota; Metazoa; Chordata; Mammalia; Primates; Hominidae.
UAGAUGUUUCACCAGCAUCAUACCUUAGCACAUGCCUCGCGUUCUUCCCAGAAAGUCAGCCCUGGGACCAGGUGGGCUGGUAAAGUCCUCAGUGCCGGGCCCUGUGCCUGUUGCAUGAGCCUGUGUCACUGUGACUGUGGAAGUUGGAGCUAGUGAGAGGAGGAGGAGGUGGGCAGGGGAAGGAGGGUCCCCUGGGCUCGGGCUCCACAUCAGUCCUGAGCUGCUGGCAAGCACCCCUGGCCUGCAGCCAGGGAGAGCCAGAGCCUUUGCCAGGCAGCGAGCCUCCGUGCCUUCCACUCCUAGGUCAGGUUUUGACAGCACCACUUUAUUACUUUGUUUAAGCUGUUAGAAAAUUUCAGAACAUCAGACACACCCUAUUUAAAUGUGAGAACAAAAACACCUUCCAGCAGUGCCUGCUUCUGGAACAGGACUCCUCCUGCGGAACAGGGUUUUGCUCAAUGACUACCUCCCCGGUCAUGCUGCUGUCCAGUGAGCAGCCGGGCCAGAGCUUGUCGGACCGCAGUGUGUUCUCUGCUAGAUGCGGCAGCUGUGACUCAGGGGGAAUGGGGGCUGCAUGCCUGCUCCUGACACACCUCUGCCCGUUGUGCUUUGCAGGUCUUUUAUCAGAAAUCACCGAUCCAGAGAGCUUCCUGAAGGACCUGUUGAACUCAGUCCCCUGACCACCACACAGCAGCUGCGGCGGCGAAGACGAAGCUGGCUUGCCUUCCACCCUCUGUUCUCCCUCCUUGUGCAUUGAGUUCCCUCCGCGGGAUGCUGCAUUGUUAUCCCGCCCUCCCCUCUCUCAUUUUUCUUGGUGUGGCUUGGGGUUUUUAGGCUUCCUGUUUUAUCUUGUGUGUGUGGUGCACUAGCUAUGAGGUUGUCUGUAACCCAAGCCAUCAAGGGGCCUGUACAUACCUAGGAGCCAUGAGUUGUCCCGGCCAACUUCAUACUUGAGUGUGCACAUCUUGAGAAAUAAACAAGUGACUUAACACACAUUGAAAAAGAAGGUGUUGCCUGCUGCUUCAACUCGUCCUCAGUGGCGCAGGCCAAAUGGUUUCCCUUGAAUGCACAGCCAUUUCCGGCGUCAGCCCGGGAAGACUCAUGUCAGACCCGCUGUCUCCAGGCCUGUUGUCAGCGCUAAGUGCUACCUGUCUAUUCUUGGCCAGCAAGUUGGGGCACCACAUUGGAUGGCUCUGAUUUUUCCCAAAACAAAGCCCAUGCCUUGCUCUUAACUUUUUGGCCUUAAGAGCUGGAACCCAAAGACACGUGGAGCCCAGAGCUUUCCUAGCCCUCGGCUGAAGGAAGGCUCGCGGAGUAGGGCACAGUUUUGUUGGACCACAGAGGCCUGGGGAGCAUUUGACAUUCUCAUGCUGCUGUGAAUCGGGAAUCCCUUGGUGACUUCUCUCCAGGGUUGUCAUGUUAAGAGAGGGCCUGGGGCAGACUUAGGAUCAGGAUAAAGAGAGUGGCUGCUAUUGACAUUGCCAAGCACCCAGUGUACCUUAUUUCUAAUCUCUUCGCCCAUGAGCCAGAGCCGCUUGCCCAAGGGCUCCCAGCCAGGGGCUGUGGAGUUGUCAGGUUUGUGCCUCCGAAGCUGUGUCCUGACCACUGUGGCUGCCGCUCCUGGAGGCCUCAGACCUGCUCCCCUACACACGUGGGCAGCAGGACUCCCGAGGGCCUCUCCCCAGACUUCGGGAGAAGGCUCACCUCGUGGGAGGGAGGGCUCGCUCAUGCCCGUCUCCUUUCGUUCUUUGCGGGCCACUCAGCCAACUGACGUCGGCCUCUCCUGUCUGGAUGUCCAGUUUCUGUGGCUCACUCCUCAAACCAGAUCGUCUGGGACUGAGGGUGGCCUCUGGGCUCCUGUAGACUUCCACAGCCAGGAUUUCACAUCCCUCCCCAGAGCCUCCGACCGCACAGCCACAAGCAGCCAUGAGUGUCAUGCCUGGACUAAGCUGGAGAGACAAAGGCGUUUGUGGCAAGGGCCCAGCUGGAAGCCCUGGCAGGCCAGAGCAUGCAUGUGCUGGCUUGCACGAGCACACUUUGGUGUUUGUGUUGGGGACACCGGGCUUCUGAGGGACUGGCGUGGCUCCAGGGAGGGGAGCAGCCUGGUUGAAGCGCGGCCAGGCACUCACUCUGUUGUUCAGAUCCCAGCUCCACUGCCUGCUGUGUCCACAGUCUCCUCACCUGUCAAAUGGGAAUAUCUAUGUGGCGGGAGGGUGCUGAGGUUUCCACGAGCUAAUCUGCCUGCUGUGUAGUAACUAGUAGCUUUUCUUACUGUUAGUGAACUUGUUUUAGUCUGAAGGAAGGCACCCAUGCCCCAGGUGAAGUCCAGGUGAGUUCAGUGAUGACGAUGGAGACCCUGGUCUUGGCACCCUUCCGCCUUACACUGGGAAUGCCUCAGGCUUGCCCCUGCUGUGUGUCUGUGGUUGCCCACUUUCUGCUGGUCUCUGAGAGACCGAUUCAGGUGUUCAGGAGUCUGUUCGCUAUUACAUCACCUCCUUGUGAGAAAUAAAGUGGAGCAGCCUCAUCCAGACAGCGAAGCAAGGAGGGAGUGUGAGGAGCAGCCAGGUGAGCUGGUGGCAUGGGGCCGCCUGUGCAGAGGCCGGCCUUGCUGCUUCAUGUGGCUCAGGGAGGCUCAGCACGUCCGUCAUCGCACCUCAGGGCAGCAAGAGUGGACCUGGUGCCUUCAGAAGCCCACCCGAGGCCUGUUGCUCUGGCCUGCAAAGGGGGAGUCACCAAAGCUCAUUACAAGGUGUUUGCUUAUUUUUGUCUGCCCUGCAUUUUUUUAUUUCUUGCAAAGGCCUCAGAGGAUGUGGGCCCCAGCCCAAACACAUCUUGUUUUCACUGGUAGAGCUUUUCCUAGUGUCUGCACAGGGGAGCUUCCAGUGGCUCUGCCAUAGCCCCAGACAAGCUGCUGACACGGCAGCCAUGAGGUCUGGGACAGGUUCCAGGGGGUGCUUUUGGCCUGCUCCAGCAGGAGUGGAGGCUGGACUGGGCUCCAGCAGGAGUGGAGGCUGGACUGGGCUCCAGCAGGAGUGGAGGCUGGACUGGGCUCCAGCAGGAGUGGAGGCUGGACUGGUCUCCAGCAGGAGUGGAGGCUGGACUGGGCUCCAGCAGGAGUGGAGGCUGGUCUGGGGAGAGAGCUACACCUCCCCAGGCCCAGGUCUCACGAAAGGAGCAUUGAAGGGCACCGAGGAAAAAGCCACUUAGCCCUCUUCUGUCCUGCACCAUUAUCUGGGCCCAUUGGUUCUUGGGUCCCUGUCUUUCUCAACAGGCAGCCCCAGUUGGGGAAUUAAGUUGAUUCUGGACUGGCUAUGCCUAAUGAUAGCUGCAAUUUUAAACCCAUAAAGUUCGAGUUCAGCAAUAAAGUUGGGGAGGCAGUGUCAACACCUUCCUUGUAGAACGGC